CGGAGUAACGAGAAGCGGGACGUGUCCGGGACAAUCGGGUGAUCGUGUGAACCGAGGUGCUCCUUUGGAACGAUUCCAGCGUCAAACAGGUGAUUCUAUACACAAUGGUGAACCCGCCGUUCAUGCCGUUCGGUUAGCGGAGUGUCGCGAGUGCAAUACGAGGCCUACUCGGACUGACAUGUCGCCGGAACCAGAGAUAGUAGCCAGAGGUUGGCCGAGGUCCUGAUAGCCGCAGCGACCAGGAUCCGGGAUCAUCCAACGGAGAAAGGAUGCCAGGGGGGCGCAGGGGCCUGGUCGCCCCGCAAAACACAUUCCUCGAAAACAUCAUACGUCGUAGCAGCAGUCAACCUGACAGCAGUUUUCUCCUGGCGAACGCUCAGAUCGUCGACUUCCCUAUUGUCUAUUGCAACGAAAGCUUUUGCAAAAUCUCUGGCUAUAAUCGUGCCGAGGUUAUGCAAAAGUCCUGCCGCUGCGGAUUCAUGUACGGGGAGUUGACGGACAAAGAGACGAUCGCCAGGAUCGAGGAAUGCCUCGAGGGCCAGAUUCACGAUCAAUUCGAGAUCCUGCUGUACAAGAAGAACAGUGCCCCACGAGGUAUGUCUAGCACAGGUUCGCAAAAGAGUGCUCGAAAGACCCACCACCUGAACAAGAGACGACACACUUACAAGGAUCGUCGAACGAUCCCUGGACCAAGGGGCGGCCAUAAUGAGAGGACACUGUUCGACCUCCCACCUACUCUUGAUUUCAAAACACCGCUAUGGCUGCUUCUGCAAAUAGCGCCAAUAAAAAACGAACGGGACCUGGUGGUCCUGUUCCUGUUGACCUUCCGGGACAUCACUGCCCUGAAGCAGCCAAUCGACACGGACGACAGCAAAGGUGGCCUCUCGAAGUUCGCCAAACUAGCCAGAUCGGUCACCAGGUCCAGAUCCGUUCUUGUCUCACAGUUCAGCUCACAUCUGCCCGCCCUGAAGGACUCCGCGUUACCAACCACCACCAAACAAUCGCACUUAGCUCAUAUGAUGUCGUUAAGCGGCGACGUGAUGCCGCAGUACAGACAGGAGGCGCCGAAGACUCCGCCACACAUUUUGUUACAUUACUGCGCGUUCAAGGCAAUCUGGGAUUGGAUCAUUUUGUGUUUGACCUUUUACACGGCCAUCAUGGUGCCCUACAACGUCGCGUUCAAAAACAAGACCAGCGAGGAUGUGUCCCUGUUGGUCGUCGACAGCAUCGUCGACGUCAUAUUCUUCAUCGACAUUGUCCUCAACUUUCAUACGACGUUCGUUGGUCCGGGUGGCGAGGUGGUGUCUGACCCAAAGGUGAUCAGAAUGAACUACCUGAAAUCAUGGUUCAUCAUCGACCUCCUAAGUUGCCUUCCAUACGACGUGUUCAACGCGUUCGACCACGACGAGGACGGCAUAGGUAGUUUGUUCUCGGCGUUGAAGGUGGUGCGUCUGCUUCGUCUGGGUCGGGUAGUUCGCAAACUAGACCGGUAUCUGGAGUAUGGAGCCGCGAUGCUCAUUCUUCUGCUCUGUUUCUACAUGUUGGUUGCUCACUGGCUGGCCUGUGUCUGGUACGUCACUUUAAGGUACUCGAUAGGAAGGUCGGACGCCGACAACGGGGUUCAAUAUUCAUGGCUGUGGAAGCUGGCGAACGUCACACAGUCACCCUACAGCUAUUUGUGGACUAAUACCAGUACUGCGCCGGAGUUGGUCGCAGGACCGUCCAGGAGGACUAUGUACGUCACCGCCUUGUACUUCACGAUGACCUGCAUGACCUCCGUUGGCUUCGGCAACGUCGCCGCGGAAACCGACAACGAGAAAAUAUUCACCAUCUGCAUGAUGAUCAUCGCUGCUCUACUGUACGCCACGAUCUUCGGUCACGUCACCACAAUAAUUCAGCAAAUGACAUCCGCCACCGCCAAGUAUCACGACAUGCUGAACAACGUGAGAGAAUUCAUGAAGUUGCACGAGGUGCCGAAAGCCCUAAGCGAGCGAGUGAUGGACUACGUGGUGAGCACCUGGGCGAUGACCAAGGGCCUAGACACCGACAAGGUACUCAAUUACUGCCCGAAAGACAUGAAAGCGGACAUCUGUGUUCACUUAAACAGGAAAGUCUUCAACGAACACCCAGCGUUCAGGUUGGCCUCCGACGGUUGCCUGCGGGCACUGGCGAUGCACUUUACAAUGUCGCACAGUGCGCCCGGCGAUUUGCUUUAUCAUACAGGCGAGUCGAUCGACUCGUUGUGCUUCAUCGUGACUGGGAGUCUCGAGGUGAUACAAGACGACGAGGUUGUGGCUAUCCUUGGCAAGGGAGACGUGUUCGGAGACAGCUUCUGGACGAAUCCGUCCGUGGGACAAAGCGCGGCCAACGUGCGAGCUCUGACCUACUGCGACCUUCACACUAUCAAGAGGGACCGACUGUUGGAAGUGUUGGAUUUUUAUCAAGCUUUCGCAAACUCCUUCGCCAGGAACCUCGUUUUGACCUACAACCUGAGUCACCGGCUGAUAUUUCGAAAAGUGGCCGACGUUCGCCGGGAGAAAGAGUUGGCCGAGAGAAGGAAAAACGAGCCUCAAUUGGAUCAAGCACAGGAUCAUCUGGUGCGAAAAAUCUUCUCGAGGUUCAAGACCGACGGGGAUGCCCAGAUUGGCGCGACUAGGGCCGCGAACGGACGAUCCCAACAGGAUUCCGACGAGGAGCUCACCGUGAACGUCCUGCCGCCCUGGCCCAGUUUUAGGUUCCGCAGGGAGAGGCACACCGCCGACGUGGAGAAAGGGGACAGCAAAGACGGGAAGGACGGCAAAGAGGGAGAAUCGUCGCACACUAGAAAACUCUCCGCAGCGGAGGAGACCACUGCCGUGAAAACGCGACCUGGAAAAUGGGGACGACUGCUAGGGAGCUCGAGUCUGGACUCCGGAAGCGAAGCAGGGACCGGUGUGGACACCUUCAAGCGUUCGCUCAGCGCCAGGGACGCCCGUCCCGGUUCGAGCGCCGGUGGUAACAAGGUGUUCCCAAAGUUCGGCAAGCUCAGCGGCACCAUCGAGGAGACAGCGGACUCAGAAAGCGGUAAAGACGCUCAGCAGCAGCAGCAGCAACAGCAACAGCAGCAGCAGACCGUAACAGACUCGAAACAGCUGCAGCUCCGUCGUCUGGAGAGCUACGACGACGGUCUGAUCACCUCGCAGCCCAGCCACGACCGCGAGAUCCUCGCCGCGGUGCUGGAGGUGAAGGUCGAUCUAAAGCUGGAGGUGCAACGGGUGAACCAGCGGCUGGCCAAGAUCGAGGACAUGAUGCAGACGCUGAUGAGUCGGCUGCCGGUGUGCAACUCGCAGCAGCAGAAGAGUUCGAACAGCGGAGGCGGUGGCUCGAACCAGUCCGGUCAGGGUUCGUCCGGUUCUCAGCAGGGAUCUCAGGCUACGCAGACGCCGGAGCAGAAGGUGUCGCUUGCGACCACGUCCACCUCGACCACGUGCACGGAGAGCUAUAGGGAGCAGGGCACGACCACCGAGCGAACCUCCAAGUCUCAGGAACACCAUCAUCAUCACCAUCAUCAUCAUCAGUCGCAGCAACAGUCGGACAGGCUGAAGGAGUCGGAUUACAAGAGCUCACCCAGAGACGUGAGCAAGGAGCUUCUAGAGAGGCUCGCGCAAGCUUCGACCUCCAGAGGGGACGACUCCACUCCGCUUGGACCCCUGAUCCUCAGGAAACGCAGGAGCAAGUCGCGGAACAAGGGCGCAGCGCCGCUGGCGCCCCUCGCCACCCAGCCUAUCAGCCCGUCCGAAGCGACAGAAACCACGCAGAUGCUCGAGUGCACCGACGACAGGGAACAGAGCACCGCCACGACGGACAGGAGCGACAGGCCCGACAGGAAGAGGCCUCCGCCCAGGACCAGGGAGUACUUGUGAAAGUUCUUACGGCUCCGGACGGUCUCUGAAUUCCUGCAUCGAACAGCGAAGGUCGUAGAAUGUCCUGGCGGAGGGUUUGAGUCUUGGAUACUCAACCGAGUCGUCGAGUUGUUCGUAGGGAGUUGCCUUAAAGAGUUGUUGGUUAGAAGUCCGAGUGAAGAUCGUGAAACGAGUUUGGAUGAAUCCGAGGCGCUCGAGCAGACUGUUUCAGCGAACAUUGUUUUUCAACGAAGUGAUAAAGUCGACGAACGAUUAACAAAUAAACCGUAAUAUCCGUUAAGUUCACCGCGUACGUUUAAGUACACGCUGCAUUUUCGCUACUCGCUUCGCGUACGGUCUUCAACGAGCCUCGUCGAAGGUCGUCGGAACCUAAGCUAAUUGAAAAGUACUAGUAGCGUAUCGUCGAAUGUAAGCGAACAACAAAGAAGAUUACGAUGAAAAUGAAAGGGGAGAGGGUGGUCUCCCGCUACUAAACUUGGCAUAUUUUUGCAUGGCCAAAUCACGCGAUAAAACCAAGUAUAUCGAAUUAACUGCUUGCGACGGCUUCUUCGAGACAUCGAACGUUAAACGAGAACAAAGAAACUAAUCAGAAUACUCGUGUUCUACCUAAAGCUACACACACACACACACGUGUACGCAUACACGUACAGAUACACUGUAAUUGUAGAUUUACACGCAUCUUAGGGGAUCUCAGUUAGAUCGCGAUAGAUUUAUAAGCGGCAAAGUGAACGGUACAACGGUUCUCAGAGGCAAUCUUGCGAGAUCCCCGUAUCGAGUUCGAACGCGAUCCGAAUCGGGCCGAAUCGUUUUCCUGAAUCAGUGCUGUCGAAGGCCUGAACUUCCAGAACCAAUUGCCUAAUAUGUAAUACGUUUCGGUGAAGUGGCGACCUCUGUACCGAUCUGGGAACGCGAGGUUCCUGCUCUGUCGUUUCAACGAAAAUGAAGGUGCCACGUGAGGGAUUACGGGACAUUCGGUACGGUAACUACCCGUCCACACCGUUUUCUGUGUAGGCCGAACGACAGACGGGUAUCUUCGAUUUUGGGAGAUGUGCAUAAAGAAAGCCCAGACGUUCUCUUUCUAUUCUUAUAUCUGUACGCAUGCGCGGCAACGGCGGCUUAAUUUCUCGUGGCCGCUCUCGUCGACAGCACUGAUUUAUGAAUGGGUCCGUGGUGAGGAGACAUCGGCUAGAAUCGCGUUAGGGAUUUUUAUCGGCGGAACACUGGCAGGAGACUGAAGCGGAUAAUGAAACCCUCCCAUGGACAGCACCCUAACUCGCGACCCGAAGAUUCUCUACUUUGUUACGUUGAAAACAUGACCUAAUCCCGCGUAUGGUGGCAUUCACGGAAGCCAAACAGCAAUAUUAGGUGUAUAUAUCUCUUGUAACUACGGUCACGUGUAUAUAUGUACUCGUAAAUGAGAGGCGCGCGUGUUCGUGGCAGCGCAUUUGCGAGGCUGCAUUCCGUUAACGAGUGUAGGGAUUAUUGGUACCAAACCUUAUUUCAUUGACCUAGACGAUGUCGACCUUGAGUCACUUUCUCUUACAAUUGUCUUGUAUUUUUAGAAAUGAUCAGACUUACUUUUACUUGGGGUCAUUUACUUAGGCUCAUUGUAACUUUGCUUAUAGUUGUAUUCAUUUACUUAUACUCAUUGUAAAUUUGCUUAUACUCAUGCUUAUGUUCAUUUAUUUAUACUCAUUGUAACUUUACUUGUAGUCAUACUCAUAUUUAUUUAUUUACAGUCAUUGUAACUUUGCUUAUAGUCAUACUCAUAUUUAUUUAUUUACAGUCAUUGUAACUUUGCUUAUAGUCAUACUCAUAUUUGUUUAUUUACAGUCAUUGUAACUUUGCUUAUACUCACACUUAUGUUCAUUUACUUAUUGUUAACUCAUUGUAACUUUGCUUAUAGUCAUAUUCAUAUUUAUUUAUUUACAGUCAUUGUAACUUUGCUUAUACUCAUGCUUAUGUUCAUUUACUUAUUGUUAACUCCUUAUAACUUUGCUUAUAUUCAUACUUAUAUUCAUUUACUUAUACUCCCUUGCUUACCGCCAUCUUGUUUGACACUCUACUGUAAACAAAAUGGUCGCCAACUGCGACUCUACAUCGUUGAGGAUUUCGUUAACAAGAUAUUGCAGAGGUAAUAAAAUCGAUGAGGUAUCCUAAUGCAAAUAAUUAAUUAGAUGAAAAAGAUGGACAAUUAAGUUAUGAAGAGAAGGUUAAUGAAAUUAGGGUUGACUAAUCCGCAUAUUUACGAGUAACGGUCUUUUCUUUUCGUCUCUUUCCGGGCUUCCAACGCAGCUUCUCUACGAUUUCUAAAAAGCGAGUUAAAAAGGCGAAGGCCUUGAUCGGUGUUCCAUUCGCAGGCAUCCGUUGCGAAACAACGGUACAUUUUGUUGCGUUGCUGUCGCCCGUUAACCGAACCUAACCUAUAAAGCAACAUAUACACAAUUUUGAAGGACAAUCAAAGAUGGAAAGUAUCGAUCAUAAUAGGUCGACGCGAUUAAUCGAUUAAGGCUAUAGAUAAUAUUUCGUUAGCUUAAACUUUAAUCCGAAGCGUAGUACCCUGGCGUGGAGCGACGCGUACGAAUAAUUUUGCACGGUGCGAAUGGGAUUUGACAUUGCGGACUAGCGUUUAGUCAUUUUUAUAAAUACCGAAACGGGGAAGAACCACACGACGAAAGAACGAAAAGGAGAGACGAAUGCACGUCGCGAUCGCGCCGACAGGAACAUCGAUGCGUGAGGAAUGUAUGGAACAGGGACGACGUUCCGGAUGCGACAAAAUCACGUGACCGACGAUGCAACGACAAAACCCUUCUCGCGUUCGAGAAAGAAAUUGUAGUACAUCAGAAACUGUCGAGGAACGUUUGAAAAACAGACAAAGAUAUAAACAUGUGAUAUUACGAUUUUAUAUGUGAAGCUGAUAUUGCUAUACACAUAGGACAAACCGAGAUGUGUAUAUGUAUCAGCUACAUCGCAAUAAAUUGAUUAUAUCGCGCUGUUAUUCUAAAAUUAUAAGCGCGGCGCGACACGAGUCGUCGUUCUUUUAUUGUACAAUGGAACUUUUAUUGCCUAUUCAGUUCGUUUGUUGCAAUUUAUUUUCUUACGCUAAAUAGGGGUUAACGUGGGGUCGCCAUUUUGUUGGCGGCCAUCUUGUCUGUUAGCGGCCAUCUUGUUUACGGCCAUCUUGUUUAGCAUCACACUUUUCGACUUUAUUAAGCAUGUAUUGUUUAAACAAAAAUACAGUGUGUGACACAGUGUGAAAUACUUAUUAACAAGAUGGCCGCUAGCAAACAAGAUGGCCGCCAACAAGUGACUCGACGCAUUUAACCUCUAUUUUUUCCAAAGUUUGUAAAGCUUAUUUCGAAUUGCCAUGCAACAUUAAUAGCGCCGUAAUUCAGUUGAAAUAGGAUAUUUUGUUCGGGGAAAACAAGAAGACAGAGACGACGACAGUGAUCGCCACGACGAUCGAAGAAGCCGUGAUCGUAUCGAAUUUUUUUGUGAAAAUGAUCGAGGAGAGAGUCUAUAAUAGCUAUCCGACGAAAUAACAAAAUAAAGAAAAAAAUAUAUAUAUAUAAUUAUUAUUAUUAUUAUUAUGAUUAUUAUGAUUAGAAGAGGGAGGGGGGACAAAUUUUUGCUAUAACUAACACUUCGUCCAUUUUUCUAUAUGGGCAAUUCGUUGCACUGUAAUCGAUCCUCGGCCUUGUAAAUUCUGUCCUUGUCACUUCCGGUAGCGCUCUUCGAUUGUCGAGCGUCACGGAAUACCGCUCGGUCGAUGUACAUACUGUUCGAUGGCUCGCAUAUGAAAUUUUAAUGAAUUUCAAAAUACUUCAAGAUAAUUAACUCGGAAGCCUCGUUCGAAAAAUUUGAUCACAAUACUUAUUUAUAAAACAUUGCCUUUAAAAUAAAAUUGCAGUACAAAAUAAAAUUACAUGAUGCAAAAUAAAAUUAGUACAAAACAAAAUUAGAGUUAACAAAAGUAUUAAAAGAAGUUUAAAAAGAAUUAUAUCUGCGUUUAAAUAAAAAAUAUGACAUUAUGAUAAUUGUAUGACAAUAUGACAAUUGACACUAGAUUUAUAGAACUUGUUGAAAUGACACAUAUGUUAAGUUACAGAAAUUAUUUAUUUAUUACAGUAUUUUAUUUCUAAUAAAAAAGUAGAUGCAAGUCUGUAAACCUAGUGUUCAAAGAAUCUGUCCAAAAUUGAUUAAAAAAAUAUAUAUAGAGUCGUACAUCAAACAGUAUUUACAGCAUCGACGUUAAAAACGGUGAAGAAAUACUCGAUUUCAUGGAUGAUGAGUCCGCCAUUUUGAUCGGUUCGAGUCCGCCAUUUUGAUCGGUUCGAAUCCGCCAUCUUGAUCGGUUCGAGUCCGCCAUCUUGAUCGGUUCGAGUCCGCCAUUUUGAUUAGUUCAAGUCCACCAUUUCUCGGUCCGAAAAGUACUCAAACGCUAAAAUUUCCGAAAUUGUUAAAUCUUUAAAUUCGAUACCGAUCAUCCAUGAGAAAAGUACAAUAUCGCUAAGUUAGACUUCCGUGGCGCUCGCGGCUCGACGAGCCAAUUCUCGUCAAAUCUCGAAUCUCGACAGCUAAAAAAAAA
RNAcentral lists this unclassified non-coding RNA (8490 nucleotides) under Megachile rotundata (alfalfa leafcutting bee). RNAcentral's name for it is "potassium voltage-gated channel protein eag, transcript variant X1". The record is from RNAcentral. Lineage: Eukaryota; Metazoa; Arthropoda; Insecta; Hymenoptera; Megachilidae.